AGAGUUUGAUCCUGGCUCAGGAUGAACGCUAGCUACAGGCUUAACACAUGCAAGUCGAGGGGCAGCAUGAUUGAAGCUUGCUUCAAUCGAUGGCGACCGGCGCACGGGUGAGUAACACGUAUCCAACCUGCCGAUAACUCGGGGAUAGCCUUUCGAAAGAAAGAUUAAUACCCGGUAGCAUAGUUUUUCCGCAUGGUUUCACUAUUAAAGAAUUUCGGUUAUCGAUGGGGAUGCGUUCCAUUAGAUAGUUGGCGGGGUAACGGCCCACCAAGUCAACGAUGGAUAGGGGUUCUGAGAGGAAGGUCCCCCACAUUGGAACUGAGACACGGUCCAAACUCCUACGGGAGGCAGCAGUGAGGAAUAUUGGUCAAUGGACGAGAGUCUGAACCAGCCAAGUAGCGUGAAGGAUGACUGCCCUAUGGGUUGUAAACUUCUUUUAUACGGGAAUAAAGUGGAGUAUGCAUACUCCUUUGUAUGUACCGUAUGAAUAAGGAUCGGCUAACUCCGUGCCAGCAGCCGCGGUAAUACGGAGGAUCCGAGCGUUAUCCGGAUUUAUUGGGUUUAAAGGGAGCGUAGGCGGGUGCUUAAGUCAGUUGUGAAAGUUUGCGGCUCAACCGUAAAAUUGCAGUUGAUACUGGAUAUCUUGAGUGCAGUUGAGGCAGGCGGAAUUCGUGGUGUAGCGGUGAAAUGCUUAGAUAUCACGAAGAACUCCGAUUGCGAAGGCAGCCUGCUAAGCUGCAACUGACAUUGAGGCUCGAAAGUGUGGGUAUCAAACAGGAUUAGAUACCCUGGUAGUCCACACGGUAAACGAUGAAUACUCGCUGUUUGCGAUAUACAGCAAGCGGCCAAGCGAAAGCGUUAAGUAUUCCACCUGGGGAGUACGCCGGCAACGGUGAAACUCAAAGGAAUUGACGGGGGCCCGCACAAGCGGAGGAACAUGUGGUUUAAUUCGAUGAUACGCGAGGAACCUUACCCGGGCUUAAAUUGCAGAUGAAUUACGGUGAAAGCCGUAAGCCGCAAGGCAUCUGUGAAGGUGCUGCAUGGUUGUCGUCAGCUCGUGCCGUGAGGUGUCGGCUUAAGUGCCAUAACGAGCGCAACCCUUGUUGUCAGUUACUAACAGGUUCCGCUGAGGACUCUGACAAGACUGCCAUCGUAAGAUGUGAGGAAGGUGGGGAUGACGUCAAAUCAGCACGGCCCUUACGUCCGGGGCUACACACGUGUUACAAUGGGGGGUACAGAGGGCCGCUACCACGCGAGUGGAUGCCAAUCCCAAAAACCUCUCUCAGUUCGGACUGGAGUCUGCAACCCGACUCCACGAAGCUGGAUUCGCUAGUAAUCGCGCAUCAGCCACGGCGCGGUGAAUACGUUCCCGGGCCUUGCACACACCGCCCGUCA
Molecule: ribosomal RNA, 1395 nt
Filed under: uncultured bacterium
Lineage: Bacteria
Description: 16S ribosomal RNA
Rfam family: Bacterial small subunit ribosomal RNA
Source: RNAcentral